This 62-nucleotide transfer RNA is filed under the name Marmota monax (woodchuck). It matches the Rfam family "tRNA". Rfam says of the family: Transfer RNA (tRNA) molecules are approximately 80 nucleotides in length. Their secondary structure includes four short double-helical elements and three loops (D, anti-codon, and T loops). Lineage: Eukaryota; Metazoa; Chordata; Mammalia; Rodentia; Sciuridae. The record is from Rfam by way of RNAcentral.
GGUACUGUAGCUCAGUGGUAGAGCACUUGUCUAGAAUGUGCUGGGUUCGACCCUCAGCACCA